GACGAACGCUGGCGGCGUGCUUAACACAUGCAAGUCGAACGAUGAACCUCGAAAUGAUUUCUUCGGAAAGAUUUUUGAGAGGAUUAGUGGCGAACGGGUGAGUAACGCGUGAGCAACCUGCCUUAGACAAGGGGAUAGCCUCGGGAAACCGUGAUUAAUACCCUAUGAGACUCCACUUACGAGUGUAAGAGAAGUUAAAGCUAUUGCGGUCUAAGAUGGGCUCGCGUCUGAUUAGCUAGUUGGUGAGAUAAAAGCCCACCAAGGCGACGAUCAGUAACCGGCUUGAGAGAGUGAACGGUCACAUUGGAACUGAGACACGGUCCAAACUCCUACGGGAAGCAGCAGUGGGGAAUAUUGCACAAUGGGGGCAACCCUGAUGCAGCGACGCCGCGUGAGCGAUGAAGGAAUUCGUUUCGUAAAGCUCUGUCCUUGGAGAAGAUAAUGACGGUAACCAAGGAGGAAGCACCGGCUAAAUACGUG
This 480-nucleotide ribosomal RNA is filed under the name uncultured bacterium. RNAcentral describes it as "partial 16S ribosomal RNA". It matches the Rfam family "Bacterial small subunit ribosomal RNA", at positions 28 to 507 of the family's 1533-position model. The record is from RNAcentral.